Molecule: long non-coding RNA, 1675 nt
Organism: Gallus gallus (chicken)
Lineage: Eukaryota; Metazoa; Chordata; Aves; Galliformes; Phasianidae
Source: Ensembl
CUCAUGUUCAAGCACCAGUGAAGCAGUGGUAGUGUUUUCAUGAAGGUAUUCUAUGGCAAUUAGACAAACAUACCAAUCCACCAAAUGAAAUACUCUCAUACAGUUUUGCUGCAGAAUUAGGCUAGCACAGAAGCCUGAGAUACCCAUCUUUCAAAUUAGGGUUCGUGUUAUUUACAUGUGAAAGAAUCUUUACCCAUUUUCGGCACUUCCUUGAAUUUCGGCUCAGUUUCCUAAUCAGAAUUAGCUGUUCUCUCCUUCAGAAGAAAAGCCUCUGCCAAUUUGUAUCUAGAAGACACAGGGAAAAUGCUGCAAGGCAGAUUCCCUACUAUGUGCAGGAACCAACAGAAGAUCUGAGGAUAUCCAAAGAGAAUGGAAAAUAUCUUAAGAUCUACAAAAUUCUACUGUGAAAAAAUGAUUUGCACAAGAUAACAUGCCUUCAUUUGCAAAUGAAAAUUUACUAGCUGUGGCAUAGCUAGAGAAAGCUUUGCAGUUGAAGAAAGCUAAAAAACAGGAGUGAAUGUUUAGAACAAGAUACUGUAUCAACACAUAUGGCAGCAUCUGCAGUGGAGAGUGGAAAGAACAUUGUCCUAUGAAGAAACACUUCUGGAUGCCUCAGUUUUAUGAAAUGCAGCCCAUUCACCCCCACUGUUUACAGAUGGUCACUGAAAACUUAAAAAUCUACUGAAAUAUCUAUAAUCACACACUGCAUUGUGAACUUCUGCCAGUAGCAAGACUGCACAGCCCAGAGCAGCAGUAACUUACUGUUUUGGCAUGUGCAUGGGCUUCAGAGGCCAGUUUUCUUACAAGUCACAGGACUCUUCAUUCUGUGACCCUAUUCUCCCCAGGAGCACGCUGCCCUUCACACAGACUUAACGCUCUACAGUCUGGGCCUUCGAGAGGCACCUUUCUCAGAGAUGCAAACAAUAAUGUAGCAUGAGUUUUCUUUCAGCUUCUAAGCACAGAAAGGGAGGAGUUGGGGAGAAAAUAAAACAAAAAGGAAGAAAAAGACAAGGAAUAGUUGAAUAGGAGAAACAGAUGGGAAAAAAGAAAAAAGAUGAACAGAUGGUUGUUGUGUCGUAAAAUUUUUAUUUCUAUCUUUCUUUGUUUUUAAAUAAGCCAAUAGCAGUAUUUCACACAGACGUAGAAUAACAUGGAGAAGAUAACAUUAACAUUGUCAAAUUACUGUUUAUGGCUUCUGAGUACAACACUCGUGAAGAAGUGACAUGAGUAUAAAGUGCAACUAUAAUCAGAGCUUGAACUAGAAUAACAUUUUCUCUUCUUGACCUUCCAAUCCACUGUAACUGUUAUAUUUCACCCCUUUUGGGAGCAAUAAUCAGUGUCUGCACCAUUGCAAAUAAACAAAUUAGAUAUUAUGGGCAUCUCUGCCCAGUUUUGGUGAAGAAUAUUACACAGAACCGGAUGCUUUGCACAACAGCAUAGUGAUCAAAGAACAAAGGUAAAAGUCUCAUUGAUUUUGAAAGAACUUUGAUGGAAGCUCUCCAAAGAAAAAUCCUGAAGAACCACUCCCUCACCAUUUCCCAUCAGGCACCCAAGGGACUGAGUUGCCCUCAAUUUCAGAAGAUCAUUUUCAUCAGUACAAGUGAGUUUAGAGCAAUUUUGUAGUGUUCUCCAAUCAUAAAUUGCUUAGCAUUUGUUUCACUGUGGUGUAAGCAAC